This 618-nucleotide unclassified non-coding RNA is filed under the name Hevea brasiliensis (rubber tree). Lineage: Eukaryota; Viridiplantae; Streptophyta; Magnoliopsida; Malpighiales; Euphorbiaceae. The record is from RNAcentral.
UCAGUGCUUGGAUCAGUCAUUUUCUAGCUUGCAUGGGAGGUUGUUUUGGUUGCUGUGCAAAAUCUCAACCAGUUAUUGCUGUGGAUGAACCAUCUAAAGGACUACGAAUACAAGGAAAGUUGGUGAGAAAACAGAGUUUGUCGGAUGAUUUUUGGAGCACCAGUACAUGCGAUCUGGAGAUUAGUACUGUUCAAUCUCAUAGAAGUAUGUCUUCCAUCAGUAUCUCAAAUCAGAGCCUCAGUCAACAGAGUGGCACUGGCAAUGCUAGCAACAAUAAUGAAUUCGUAAAUCACGGCUAUCUUCUUUGGAACCAGACCAGGCUUCAGUGGCUAGCAAGUAAAAAUCCAGAGAACCAAAGAGUCAUUGAAGAACCGAUGUUAACUUGGAACGUUUCCUAUGAUAGCUUAUUUGGGACUAACAAGCGAUUCCCUCAGCCAAUUCCUCUCUCGGACAUGGUCGACUUUCUUGCUGAUAUUUGGGAGCACGAGGGUUUGUACGAUUAACCAUGCUGAUCGAUAUUGUGUAUUGAUAUCUUCUUCGCUUUAUCUGAAUUUUUCUGGUUGUUUUAACUUCUGAUAAAAUUGUGCAUAGUUUCCAGUAUAGAGGGAGUGAUGGAGG